RNAcentral lists this ribosomal RNA (251 nucleotides) under uncultured bacterium. RNAcentral describes it as "partial 16S ribosomal RNA". It matches the Rfam family "Bacterial small subunit ribosomal RNA", at positions 57 to 305 of the family's 1533-position model. The record is from RNAcentral.
GCAAGUCGAGGGGUAACAUUAUAGCUUGCUAUAGAUGACGACCGGCGCACGGGUGCGUAACGCGUAUACAAUCUACCUUUUACUGGAGGAUAGCCCUAAGAAAUUGGGAUUAAUACUGCAUAAUAAGUUUAUAUCACCUGAUUUAAACUUCAAAGCUUCGGCGGUAAGAGAUGAGUAUGCGUCCUAUUAGUUAGUUGGUAAGGUAACGGCUUACCAAGACAUCGAUAGGUAGGGGGCCUGAGAGGGUUAUC